AGAGUUUGAUCCUGGCUCAGGAUGAACGCUGGCGGCGUGCCUAAUACAUGCAAGUCGAGCGAAUGGAUUAAGAGCUUGCUCUUAUGAAGUUAGCGGCGGACGGGUGAGUAACACGUGGGUAACCUGCCCAUAAGACUGGGAUAACUCCGGGAAACCGGGGCUAAUACCGGAUAACAUUUUGAACCGCAUGGUUCGAAAUUGAAAGGCGGCUUCGGCUGUCACUUAUGGAUGGACCCGCGUCGCAUUAGCUAGUUGGUGAGGUAACGGCUCACCAAGGCAACGAUGCGUAGCCGACCUGAGAGGGUGAUCGGCCACACUGGGACUGAGACACGGCCCAGACUCCUACGGGAGGCAGCAGUAGGGAAUCUUCCGCAAUGGACGAAAGUCUGACGGAGCAACGCCGCGUGAGUGAUGAAGGCUUUCGGGUCGUAAAACUCUGUUGUUAGGGAAGAACAAGUGCUAGUUGAAUAAGCUGGCACCUUGACGGUACCUAACCAGAAAGCCACGGCUAACUACGUGCCAGCAGCCGCGGUAAUACGUAGGUGGCAAGCGUUAUCCGGAAUUAUUGGGCGUAAAGCGCGCGCAGGUGGUUUCUUAAGUCUGAUGUGAAAGCCCACGGCUCAACCGUGGAGGGUCAUUNGAAACUGGGAGACUUGAGUGCAGAAGAGGAAAGUGGAAUUCCAUGUGUAGCGGUGAAAUGCGUANANNUAUGGAGGAACACCAGUGGCGAAGGCGACUNNNNGG
RNAcentral lists this ribosomal RNA (744 nucleotides) under Bacillus cereus. Its description in RNAcentral is "bacterial SSU rRNA". It matches the Rfam family "Bacterial small subunit ribosomal RNA", at positions 8 to 732 of the family's 1533-position model. The record is from RNAcentral. Lineage: Bacteria; Bacillati; Bacillota; Bacilli; Caryophanales; Bacillaceae.